CGGUAAUUUGACCGUGCAAAGGUAGCAUAAUCAAUAGUCUUUUAAUUGGAGGCUUGAAUGAAAGGUUUGACGGAGGAGAAGCUGUCUUUUUAUUAGAAUUGAAUUUAACUUUUGUGUAAGAAGGCAUUAAUGAUUUAAAGGGACGAUAAGACCCUAUAAAACUUUAUAUAUUAUAUUUAUUUAAUAAAAUAGUUAAUUAAUUAUUGGUGGUUAAUUAUAUUUUGCUGGGGUGGCAGGAAUAUAAUUCUAACUGUUUUAAAUGUAAAAUAUUUAUUAAUAGAGAGUGGUCCUUUGUUUGAGAGUUGAGAGUAAGUUACUUUAGGGAUAACAGCAUAAUUUCUUUUGAGAGUUCUUAUCGAAGAUGGUAGUUGUGACCUCGAUGUUGAAUUAAAUUUUCCUUUUAAUGUAGGAGUUU
RNAcentral lists this ribosomal RNA (415 nucleotides) under Synalpheus bousfieldi. RNAcentral's name for it is "partial 16S ribosomal RNA". The record is from RNAcentral. Lineage: Eukaryota; Metazoa; Arthropoda; Malacostraca; Decapoda; Alpheidae.